Molecule: ribosomal RNA, 267 nt
Filed under: uncultured bacterium
Lineage: Bacteria
Description: partial 16S ribosomal RNA
Rfam family: Bacterial small subunit ribosomal RNA
Source: RNAcentral
GUCCUAGCUGUAAACGGUGCGCGCUUGGUGUGGCGGGUUUCGACCCCUGCCGUGCCGUAGCUAACGCGUUAAGCGCGCCGCCUGGGAAGUACGGUCGCAAGAUUAAAACUCAAAGAAAUUGACGGGGACCCGCACAAGCGGUGGAGUAUGUGGCUUAAUUCGAUGCAACGCGAAGAACCUUACCUGGGCUUGACAUGCGCUGUAACCCUUGCGAAAUCAAGGUAGCGUAGCAAUACGCACUUCGCACAGGUGCUGCAUGGCUGUCGU